AGAUGCAUUACUGGGCAAUUCCUUCUUUGGCAGAAGUUGCCAUGCAUUAUAUGGCUUCUCAAUCUCAAUGGAUCAAUAUUUGAUGUUCCAAAUGGUCAAAAAUUGUAUUACUUCUGCUGCCAAAGGAGAUUUGUCCGGCAAUUCAUCA
Molecule: microRNA precursor, 148 nt
Filed under: Macleaya cordata
Lineage: Eukaryota; Viridiplantae; Streptophyta; Magnoliopsida; Ranunculales; Papaveraceae
Description: mir-399 microRNA precursor family
Rfam family: mir-399 microRNA precursor family
About the family: mir-399 was identified in both Arabidopsis thaliana and Oryza sativa computationally and was later experimentally verified. mir-399 is thought to target mRNAs coding for a phosphatase transporter. The mature sequence is excised from the 3' arm of the hairpin.
Source: Rfam by way of RNAcentral